Molecule: ribosomal RNA, 301 nt
Filed under: uncultured bacterium
Lineage: Bacteria
Description: partial 16S ribosomal RNA
Rfam family: Bacterial small subunit ribosomal RNA
Source: RNAcentral
CAGUCGCCACGGGAAUACGUAGGUGGCAAGCGUUGUCCGGAAUUAUUGGGCGUAAAGGGCUCGCAGGCGGUUUCUUAAGUCUGAUGUGAAAGCCCCCGGCUCAACCGGGGAGGGUCAUUGGAAACUGGGAAACUUGAGUGCAGAAGAGGAGAGUGGAAUUCCACGUGUAGCGGUGAAAUACGUAGAGAUGUGGAGGAACACCAGUGGCGAAGGCGACUCUCUGGUCUGUAACUGACGCUGAGGAGCGAAAGCGUGGGGAGCGAACAGGAUUAGAUACCCCUGUAGUCCCUGUCUCUUAUAC